GAUGAACGCUGGCGGUAUGCUUAACACAUGCAAGUCGAACGGACUCUUCGGAGUUAGUGGCGGACGGGUGAGUAACGCGUGAGAAUCUGGCUUUGGGUUCGGGACAACCACUGGAAACGGUGGCUAAUACCGGAUGUGCCGAGAGGUAAAAGAGAAAUUGCCUGAAGAUGAGCUCGCGUCUGAUUAGCUAGUUGGUGAGGUAAAGGCUCACCAAGGCAGCGAUCAGUAGCUGGUCUGAGAGGAUGACCAGCCACACUGGGACUGAGACACGGCCCAGACUCCUACGGGAGGCAGCAGUGGGGAAUUUUCCGCAAUGGGCGAAAGCCUGACGGAGCAAUACCGCGUGAGGGAAGAAGGCUCUUGGGUUGUAAACCUCUUUUCUUAGGGAAGAACAAAAUGACGGUACCUAGGGAAUCAGCAUCGGCUAACUCCGUG
RNAcentral lists this ribosomal RNA (435 nucleotides) under uncultured bacterium. RNAcentral describes it as "partial 16S ribosomal RNA". It matches the Rfam family "Bacterial small subunit ribosomal RNA", at positions 28 to 507 of the family's 1533-position model. The record is from RNAcentral.